RNAcentral lists this ribosomal RNA (253 nucleotides) under uncultured bacterium. Its description in RNAcentral is "partial 16S ribosomal RNA". It matches the Rfam family "Bacterial small subunit ribosomal RNA", at positions 524 to 776 of the family's 1533-position model. The record is from RNAcentral.
UACGUAGGCAGCGAACGUUGUUCGGAGUUACUGGGCGUAAAGGGUGUGUAGGCGGUUGUUUAAGUUUGGUGUGAAAUCUCCCGGCUCAACUGGGAGGGUGCGCCGAAUACUGAAUGACUAGAGUGCGGGAGAGGAAAGUGGAAUUCCUGGUGUAGCGGUGAAAUGCGUAGAUAUCAGGAGGAACACCGGUGGUGUAGACGGCUUUCUGGACCGUAACUGACGCUGAGACACGAAAGCGUGGGUAGCAAACAGG